UACGUAGGGAGCAAGCGUUGUCCGGAAUCAUUGGGCGUAAAGCGCGCGUAGGUGGCCUCAUAAGUCCGCUGUGAAAGUCAAAGGCUCAACCUUUGAAAGCCGGUGGAUACUGUGGGGCUAGAGUACGGAAGAGGCGAGUGGAAUUCCUGGUGUAGCGGUGGAAUGCGCAGAUAUCAGGAGGAACACCAAUAGCGAAGGCAGCUCGCUGGGACGUUACUGACGCUGAGGCGCGAAAGCGUGGGGAGCAAACAGG
RNAcentral lists this ribosomal RNA (253 nucleotides) under uncultured bacterium. RNAcentral describes it as "partial 16S ribosomal RNA". It matches the Rfam family "Bacterial small subunit ribosomal RNA", at positions 524 to 776 of the family's 1533-position model. The record is from RNAcentral.